Molecule: ribosomal RNA, 2930 nt
Filed under: Proteus mirabilis
Lineage: Bacteria; Pseudomonadati; Pseudomonadota; Gammaproteobacteria; Enterobacterales; Morganellaceae
Description: 23S ribosomal RNA
Rfam family: Bacterial large subunit ribosomal RNA
Source: RNAcentral
GGGUUGUGAGGUUAAGCGAAUAAGCGUACACGGUGGAUGCCUAGGCAAUCAGAGGCGAUGAAGGACGUGCUAAUCUGCGAAAAGCGUCGGUAAGGUGAUAUGAACCGUUAUACCCGACGAUAUCCGAAUGGGGAAACCCAGUAUCCAAUGGAUACUAUCAUUAACUGAAUCCAUAGGUUAAUGAGGCGAACCGGGAGAACUGAAACAUCUCAGUACCCCGAGGAAAAGAAAUCAACCGAGAUUCCCCUAGUAGCGGCGAGCGAACGGGGAGCAGCCCAGAGUCUUAAUCAAUAACAGUGUCAGGAGAACGGUCUGGAAAGUCCGGCAGUAAAGGGUGAUAGCCCCGUAUCUGAAGAUGCUGUUAUUGUGAACUCGACGAGUAGGGCGGGACACGUGUUAUCCUGUCUGAAUAUGGGGGGACCAUCCUCCAAGGCUAAAUACUCCUGAUUGACCGAUAGUGAACCAGUACCGUGAGGGAAAGGCGAAAAGAACCCCGGCGAGGGGAGUGAAAAAGAACCUGAAACCGUGUACGUACAAGCAGUAGGAGCCUCUUUAUGGGGUGACUGCGUACCUUUUGUAUAAUGGGUCAGCGACUUAUAUUCUGUAGCAAGGUUAACCGUAUAGGGGAGCCGUAGGGAAACCGAGUCUUAACUGGGCGAAUGAGUUGCAGGGUAUAGACCCGAAACCCGGUGAUCUAUCCAUGGGCAGGUUGAAGGUUGGGUAACACUAACUGGAGGACCGAACCGACUAAUGUUGAAAAAUUAGCGGAUGACUUGUGGAUGGGGGUGAAAGGCCAAUCAAACCGGGAGAUAGCUGGUUCUCCCCGAAAGCUAUUUAGGUAGCGCCUCGUGAACUCAUCUUCGGGGGUAGAGCACUGUUUCGACUAGGGGGUCAUCCCGACUUACCAACUCGAUGCAAACUGCGAAUACCGAAGAAUGUUAUCACGGGAGACACACGGCGGGUGCUAACGUCCGUCGUGAAGAGGGAAACAACCCAGACCGCCAGCUAAGGUCCCAAAGUCAUGGUUAAGUGGGAAACGAAGUGGGAAGGCUCAGACAGCCAGGAUGUUGGCUUAGAAGCAGCCAUCAUUUAAAGAAAGCGUAAUAGCUCACUGGUCGAGUCGGCCCGCGCGGAAGAUGUAACGGGGCUAAACCAUGCACCGAAGCUGCGGCAGCGACACAAAGUGUUGUUGGGUAGGGGAGCGUUCUGUAAGCCUGCGAAGGUGUACUGUGAGGUAUGCUGGAGGUAUCAGAAGUGCGAAUGCUGACAUAAGUAACGAUAAUGCGGGUGAAAAACCCGCACGCCGGAAGACCAAGGGUUCCUGUCCAACGUUAAUCGGGGCAGGGUGAGUCGACCCCUAAGGCGAGGCUGAAAAGCGUAGUCGAUGGGAAACGGGUUAAUAUUCCCGUACUGGUGGUAACUGCGAUGGGGGAACGGAGAAGGCUAGGUUGUCCGGGCGACGGUCGUCCCGGUUCAAGCAGGUAGGCAGAGUGAUUAGGCAAAUCCGGUCACUUAAUGCUGAGAUGUGAUGACGAACCACCAAGGUGGUGAAGCAAUUGAUGCCCCGCUUCCAGGAAAAGCCUCUAAGCUUCAGGUUACCAACAAUCGUACCCCAAACCGACACAGGUGGUCAGGUAGAGAAUACUCAGGCGCUUGAGAGAACUCGGGUGAAGGAACUAGGCAAAAUGGUGCCGUAACUUCGGGAGAAGGCACGCUGGCGGUAGGUAAAGUCCCUCGCGGACGGCGCUGAAGCCAGUCGAAGAUACCAGCUGGCUGCAACUGUUUAUUAAAAACACAGCACUGUGCAAACACGAAAGUGGACGUAUACGGUGUGACGCCUGCCCGGUGCUGGAAGGUUAAUUGAUGGGGUCAGCCGUAAGGCGAAGCUCCUGAUCGAAGCCCCAGUAAACGGCGGCCGUAACUAUAACGGUCCUAAGGUAGCGAAAUUCCUUGUCGGGUAAGUUCCGACCUGCACGAAUGGCGUAAUGAUGGCCAGGCUGUCUCCACCCGAGACUCAGUGAAAUUGAACUCGCUGUGAAGAUGCAGUGUACCCGCGGCAAGACGGAAAGACCCCGUGAACCUUUACUAUAGCUUGACACUGAACAUUGAGCCUUGAUGUGUAGGAUAGGUGGGAGGCUUUGAAGUGUGGACGCCAGUCUGCAUGGAGCCAACCUUGAAAUACCACCCUUUAACGUUUGAUGUUCUAACCUAGGCCCAUAAACUGGGUCGGGGACCGUGUCUGGUGGGUAGUUUGACUGGGGCGGUCUCCUCCUAAAGAGUAACGGAGGAGCACGAAGGUUGGCUAAGCAUGGUCGGACAUCAUGCGGUUAGUGCAAAGGCAUAAGCCAGCUUGACUGCGAGAGUGACGGCUCGAGCAGGUACGAAAGUAGGUCUUAGUGAUCCGGUGGUUCUGAAUGGAAGGGCCAUCGCUCAACGGAUAAAAGGUACUCCGGGGAUAACAGGCUGAUACCGCCCAAGAGUUCAUAUCGACGGCGGUGUUUGGCACCUCGAUGUCGGCUCAUCACAUCCUGGGGCUGAAGUAGGUCCCAAGGGUAUGGCUGUUCGCCAUUUAAAGUGGUACGCGAGCUGGGUUUAGAACGUCGUGAGACAGUUCGGUCCCUAUCUGCCGUGGGCGUUGGAAGAUUGAGAGGGGUUGCUCCUAGUACGAGAGGACCGGAGUGAACGCACCACUGGUGUUCGGGUUGUCAUGCCAAUGGCAUUGCCCGGUAGCUAAGUGCGGAAGAGAUAACCGCUGAAAGCAUCUAAGCGGGAAACUUGCCUCGAGAUGAGUCUUCCCUGUCGCUUUAAGCGACCUAAAGGAACGUUUAAGACUAAGACGUUGAUAGGCUGGGUGUGUAAGCGUAGCGAUACGUUGAGCUAACCAGUACUAAUGAACCGUGAGGCUUAACCUGACAACACCGAAGGUGUUU